CAGAGCAUCUUGGGAGCAAGGAUGGGACGGCCUGGAAUGGCUCCUCACCACUGCUCUUGCUCCCCACCUCUCUCCUGCCCCUGCAGUGAGGGGAGGGUUGGGGGUGGCAGCUCUGCUUCUGAGGGCUCUUGGAGAUGGAGGCUGUGCUCUGGGAGUUGGUUGUUACUCGCCUGCAAAAGGCAAGUUGCUUGCAAAUGGGCUAAGGUCUGAAAUCCUAUCUAGGGGGCUUCUAGCUUAACCUCAAGUCCUGCCUCCUUGGCCACGUCUCUGUGAGAACUGGUCUCCACUGAGGAGCCCAUCUUUCCUCCCUGGGUGUGUCCAUCAGCUCUGCCCAAACCAGGCUGGGAGGGCAACUCCCCCAGGUUAUAGAAGGCCUCUGGGCUUUCCCGAAUCCAGGGGUGGGAGUGAGCCCUUCCGUACCCACCUCACCCCCAACUCCAUGCAAAUAACUGGAUUCCAGAAGCCACAGAAGCUGGAGGAGCCACACCGCCAUGCCCUCUGUCCCCCCACAGUGUCCGGAGCCAGCAGUAACCCCUGCUCGGAGACUUACCAUGGCAAGUUUGCCAAUUCCGAAGUGGAGGUCAAGUCCAUUGUGGACUUUGUGAAGGACCACGGGAACAUCAAGGCCUUCAUCUCCAUCCACAGCUACUCCCAGCUCCUCAUGUAUCCCUAUGGCUACAAAACAGAACCAGUCCCUGACCAGGCUGAGCUGGAUCAGCUUUCCAAGGCUGCUGUGACAGCCCUGGCCUCUCUCUAUGGGACCAAGUUCAACUAUGGCAGCAUCAUCAAGGCAAUCUGUAAGUGGCUAUAUGGUCUCUUGGUGGGCCUGCGAGGAACAUCUGCUGGCUCUU
Molecule: small RNA, 851 nt
Filed under: Pongo abelii (Sumatran orangutan)
Lineage: Eukaryota; Metazoa; Chordata; Mammalia; Primates; Hominidae
Description: retained intron
Source: RNAcentral